GUGGGGAAUAUUGGACAAUGGGCGAAAGCCUGAUCCAGCCAUGCCGCGUGUGUGAAGAAGGUCUUCGGAUUGUAAAGCACUUUAAGUUGGGAGGAAGGGCAGUAAGUUAAUACCUUGCUGUUUUGACGUUACCGACAGAAUAAGCACCGGCUAACUCUGUGCCAGCAGCCGCGGUAAUACAGAGGGUGCAAGCGUUAAUCGGAAUUACUGGGCGUAAAGCGCGCGUAGGUGGUUCGUUAAGUUGGAUGGGAAAGCCCCGGGCUCAACCUGGGAACUGCAUCCAAAACUGGCGAGCUAGAGUACGGUAGAGGGUGGUGGAAUUUCCUGUGUAGCGGCGAAAUGCGUAGAUAUAGGAAGGAACACCAGUGGCGAAGGCGACCACCUGGACUGAUACUGACACUGAGGUGCGAAAGCGUGGGGAGCAAACAGGAUUAGAAACCCCAGUAGUCC
Molecule: ribosomal RNA, 450 nt
Filed under: uncultured bacterium
Lineage: Bacteria
Description: partial 16S ribosomal RNA
Rfam family: Bacterial small subunit ribosomal RNA
Source: RNAcentral